RNAcentral lists this ribosomal RNA (429 nucleotides) under Actinomycetes bacterium. RNAcentral describes it as "Actinobacteria bacterium partial 16S ribosomal RNA". It matches the Rfam family "Bacterial small subunit ribosomal RNA", at positions 355 to 776 of the family's 1533-position model. The record is from RNAcentral. Lineage: Bacteria; Bacillati; Actinomycetota; Actinomycetes.
UAGGGAAUCUUCCGCAAUGGGCGAAAGCCUGACGGAGCAACGCCGCGUGAGUGAUGAAGGUCUUCGGAUCGUAAAACUCUGUUAUUAGGGAAGAACAAAUGUGUAAGUAACUAUGCACGUCUUGACGGUACCUAAUCAGAAAGCCACGGCUAACUACGUGCCAGCAGCCGCGGUAAUACGUAGGUGGCAAGCGUUAUCCGGAAUUAUUGGGCGUAAAGCGCGCGUAGGCGGUUUGUUAAGUCUGAUGUGAAAGCCCACGGCUCAACCGUGGAAGGUCAUUGGAAACUGGAAAACUUGAGUGCAGAAGAGGAAAGUGGAAUUCCGUGUGUAGCGGUGAAAUGCGCAGAGAUAUGGAGGAACACCAGUGGCGAAGGCGACUUUCUGGUCUGUAACUGACGCUGAUGUGCGAAAGCGGGGGGAUCAAACAGG